Molecule: long non-coding RNA, 600 nt
Filed under: Prunus persica (peach)
Lineage: Eukaryota; Viridiplantae; Streptophyta; Magnoliopsida; Rosales; Rosaceae
Description: long non-coding RNA (PPER_LNC003582)
Source: RNAcentral
GAUGAGAGAUUAAGUGAGAGGAGUGAGUGAGAGAAAUGGUGGGAUUUGGGGAGAGGGAAAGAGAAAGGAGAGGUAAGAGUAGAGAAAGACAUUGAGAAAAUGGUGGAGGAGUUAUUUCGGUUUUAAAAACCGUAUCACUUUGCGCGACGAAAAAUAUUGUUGGUCGCGCAAAUGUUUGCGCGACGAAAAAUAUUGGAAUAUUGGUCGUGCAAACUUUUGCGCAACGAAACAUAUUGGUCGCGCAAAGCCCAAAAAAAAUUAUUUUAAAAAAAUAAAAAUCCCCGCGUCCCAUUUUUGGUACCCGCCAAAAUUUUUAAAUUUUUGCGCGACGAAAAAUACAUAUUGGUCGCGUAAAGUCUAAAAAAAAUAUUUUGCGCGACAAAUAUAGGAAUAUUGGUCGCACAAAGUCCAAAAAAAUUAUUUUAAAAAAAUAAAAAUCCCCGCGUCCCAUUUUUGGUACCCGCCAAAAUUUUUAAAUUUUUGCGCGACGAAAAAUACAUAUUGGUCGCGUAAAGUCUAAAAAAAAUAUUUUGCGCGACGAAUAUAGGAAUAUUGGUCGCGCAAAGUCUAAAAAAAUUAUUUUAAAAAAAUAAAAAUCCC